Molecule: long non-coding RNA, 1463 nt
Filed under: Mytilus galloprovincialis (Mediterranean mussel)
Lineage: Eukaryota; Metazoa; Mollusca; Bivalvia; Mytilida; Mytilidae
Source: RNAcentral
AAAACAGAAUCCAGGUUAAUAGACUAUCAAAGUAAGAUACGUGUGGAGAGUGCAGUGCUGUGUAUAUACCUUAACUAUUGCUAAAAUUGUUUUUGGUCAUCUCAAAUCUGCAGGGGACAAUUUUUAAGUUUUCUAGGCGAUAACAAGCUUUCAACACAAAUUAAACCUAUUUUGUCGACUUCUCAAGUUACAUUGACACCAACAUUUGAUUACAAAAAAUGUUGGCUUUUUAUAAGUUAACAUAGUCUUAUUGUUUCUCACUGUGCAUAAUGAGGCCAGUUUACUGUUUUUACAAAGAAUCUUACGAUUAAAUGUGAUUAUAUUACUAAAAUUAAAACUACUGAAAUGUAAAUGACUUGCUAGUAUUUUUACUUUUAUGAUUUUUUAUGAAAAGAGACGCAGGAUUUUUAUUGAUCAAACACAAUUUAAGUUUCAGUGCUAUUGUGUGGUGCGUUUGGUAAACAGUUAGAGCUAUAUAUAUGUAUUACAUAAACAUGCUAGUUUAAUAUAAAAGUUGAAAUACCAUUGGGUUUAAGUGUUAUUUCUUAGCUUGUUGCUUUGUAUGACAAGAAACAAUAAAAUUUACGCAAUACAAUAUGAAAAAUAUGUCGACAUUUUAACUUGGAAAAAAAGUCAACAGACAAAAGGCUUUAUUACAAAUAUUAUUGAAUAUUUAGGCUCUUAAAACAAUUGGAAACGUGUGCUGUGAAUUACUUUUUGACUGCGAAGCAUAUUUGAAUUAUUAUCAUGUAAUGUUUGGUAUGAAAAUGUUUGGAAAAGUAAAUAUUAGUGACAGCUUUACAAGGCACUCAUUUAUCAGAACCAACGUUACAAUUUUUUGUUUUAUGCAAAUUGUGUGGUUAACUUUAACAAAUGUGUUAACAUAUAAUACUUACACACACGAGUUAUCAUUUAAUUUGUUUCUUUUACAAAUAGAAUAAUUAGUAUAAGAUAAGAUUUUUUGUUUGAUGCAAACAUUAAACAAAAUGUUGUAGUAUUUCUCGUCUAGAAGGUAUUAUCAAUUGUAACUUGAGACGGAAAGCAAAAACCAUUGAGCAUAUUUAGAUGACAUAUAAAAAGAAGAUGUGUUAUGACUGCCAAUGAAACAACUCCCCAAAAGAGACCAAAUGACACGUAAAAUAUGCUUAAGUCAUCAGAUGGAUACAAAUAGAAAUAAAUCUAACAAAAACUCAGAGUGGACGUGUACAUUUUUAUCAUUUUUUCUUUGCAGAAAAGGAGUACUUAUUGAUUUGUAUCCAGUCUCCUCAUUAAUGACUUGAUCUUCAGUGGAUAAUACCUUUUAGAUGUCAAAGUAACAUGUACAUAUAAACAGUGCAAUAGUCAUUAGUUAUAUCUAACACGAAGAUAUACAGGACGUAGCCGAGCUUUAUUACAUUCGGACAUAAUAUAUUAUUACAGAAGUUAGAAUUUUUUAUACUACAUUAAAAUUACUAAUAAAUGAU